CUCUCUCUCUCUCUCUCUCUCUCUCUGCUACAUUGAAGGACGGCGAUUCAUCUUUUCGAAUCCACUUAUCCUGGUCUGAUAUCACCGCGGAAGUCUUCGUGAUCGGCCUCACCCACACGUCUGCACUUGAUCUUACUACGAGAUUCCACUGCCGAUGUCACCAGUAGUCCGUAUGACCCACCUACAGCGCAAGGCCUCGGACCCUCACCACGUCACCCUCGACUCUCAAGCGUUGCCCCCAAAACAAGUUACGUGUGCUGUGUCUCGAUGUAUCUCACCCCUUGAAAUAGCAUCCCGUAAGCCAAGAUGUUGACGGUGAUGCAAUUCAAGUCUUCCAUGACCUCACCCUCUAGGACGGAGCGGACACCUCACUCCCUUCCCAGCUUCCCAGGACACUCCCGCCCACACAGCAGCCGUCCCGCCCCUGUGAUAUUCUUCAGUGAUGCGGGAUGACAGCGAACUGCCGCCACUGAUAGGACUCAAGGUGAAGGCACGUCCUGCACCCGCGCCCUUGUGGAAGAUGGAGUGGAGCAAGUGUGUUGUAUAUAUAGUUUGGAAGCUAAGGUGUGUGUGUGUGUGUGUGUGUGUGUG
Molecule: long non-coding RNA, 591 nt
Organism: Portunus trituberculatus (swimming crab)
Lineage: Eukaryota; Metazoa; Arthropoda; Malacostraca; Decapoda; Portunidae
Exons: 2
Source: RefSeq, a predicted model, not a curated record